RNAcentral lists this ribosomal RNA (433 nucleotides) under uncultured bacterium. RNAcentral describes it as "partial 16S ribosomal RNA". It matches the Rfam family "Bacterial small subunit ribosomal RNA", at positions 29 to 507 of the family's 1533-position model. The record is from RNAcentral.
AACGAACGCUGGCGGCAUGCCUAACACAUGCCAGUCGAACGAGACCUUCGGGUCUAGUGGCGAACGGGUGCGUAACGCGUGGGAACCUGCCCUUAGGUUCGGAAUAACUCCCCGAAAGGGGUGCUAAUACCGGAUAAUGUCUUCGGACCAAAGAUUUAUCGCCUUUGGAUGGGCCCGCGUUGGAUUAGCUAGUUGGUAGGGUAAAAGCCUACCAAGGCGACGAUCCAUAGCUGGUCUGAGAGGAUGAUCAGCCACACUGGGACUGAGACACGGCCCAGACUCCUACGGGAGGCAGCAGUGGGGAAUAUUGGACAAUGGGCGAAAGCCUGAUCCAGCAAUGCCGCGUGAGUGAUGAAGGCCUUAGGGUUGUAAAGCUCUUUUACCCGGGAUGAUAAUGACAGUACCGGGAGAAUAAGCUCCGGCUAACUCCGUG